RNAcentral lists this ribosomal RNA (253 nucleotides) under uncultured bacterium. Its description in RNAcentral is "partial 16S ribosomal RNA". It matches the Rfam family "Bacterial small subunit ribosomal RNA", at positions 524 to 776 of the family's 1533-position model. The record is from RNAcentral.
UACGUAGGUGACAAGCGUUGUCCGGAUUUACUGGGCGUAAAGAGCGCGCAGGCGGUCGUUCAAGUCGAGUGUGAAAGCCCCCGGCUCAACUGGGGAGGGUCACUCGAUACUGAUCGACUCGAAGGCAGGAGAGGGUAGUGGAAUUCCCGGUGUAGUGGUGAAAUGCGUAGAUAUCGGGAGGAACACCAGUGGCGAAGGCGACUACCUGGCCUGUUCUUGACGCUGAGGCGCGAAAGCUAGGGGAGCGAACGGG